This is a long non-coding RNA of Solanum pennellii, 3600 nucleotides long. RefSeq lists it as uncharacterized. The record is from RefSeq and is a predicted model, not a curated record. Lineage: Eukaryota; Viridiplantae; Streptophyta; Magnoliopsida; Solanales; Solanaceae. The transcript has 18 exons.
AAAGGGGAUGGAUUUGAGUCUUAGGUCGCAGGUUCAAGCCCACACCAUGCAAAGUGAAGCCCGAUAUUUAAGUGGAGAAGGGUAGAGGGGCGGGUCCAUUAUCCACUGAGUUUAGAAGGCUAUGAUUUGUCCAAAGGGUGGGCCACAGGCGGAUUUCUCGGUUAUCAGAAAAAGAAAAAAAAAGAAAGAUCUCGCAGAGACUUCCGCGAACUCCAGAAGUUUUGAUGAUAGGGUUAUUGGAAUUCAACUUCUUUACACACAUUUGCAUAUUUGCCGUGAUAGCUCGCCAAUAUGGAUGGUAGUAUUUUCUUGAAUGACGGGCUCUUGAAGAUGAAGUGCAUUCUCCAAAUUCCAUAGCACCUCACCCAUAGAUGGCCUGUGCACCAGAUUCAGCUAAGUAUUUCACUGUGUUUCUCCAAAGUUGCUGAAGGAAUCUGGUCUUACUUCGCCCAGAAUGUCGGGAUAUAUGAUAUGUUCCAGUUGUCUUUUCUCCUGCAAAUUCAUUGCCCACUUAGCUAAGUUGACGUUCUCCCUCGGAAGAGAUCGAUCUCGGGCAGACCUAGCACAAAGAACUUCGCAUAAAAUGGUCACCAAUGGAGGAAGAAGAAGGAUGUUGAAACUGUUUAAGAACUGUUAAAGACACUCACCAAAAGGUGAAGAUGUUUUUGAAAGUCUUGGAGCACCUUUGAAUGUUGCUAAACCCACAAAAGAUUCAAGUGUGGCUAUUUUUUGACUAGGAGCUGUAGGCCUUAUUGCUGCAGACGGAGCAAAAAUUGCUAGUGCUUCAAGGAUAAUUUGUGUCGAUUUAAAUGCUAGCAGAUUUCAGUAAGCUAAGAAAUUUUAUGUGAAAAAGUUUGUGAACCCGAAGGAUUAAAGUAAACCAGGUCAAGAGGUAAUUGCUGAGAUGACUGAUUGCAAAUUCGAUCUGAGUGUGAAGUGUACUGGCCAUAUUGAUGCUAUGAUUUCAGCAUUUGAAUUGUCCAUGAUGUGUGGUCGUGGCUGUUCUUAUUGGUAUGUACCCCAUAAGGAAGCUGUGUUCAAGACACUUUUGAACUUUUUAAUGAAAGUACUAUCAAAGUAACCUUCUUUGGAAACUGGACACCUCGUUCGGAUAUUCCUUCUGUUGUUGAGAAAUACAUGAAUAAGGAACUUGAAUUGGAGAAAUUCAUCACUCAUACACUUCCCAUACUAUGAAAUCGACAAGUCUUUUUGAAUUAAUGUGAAGGGAGAAGGCCUUCAUUGCAUCAUCACCAUGGAGGACUAAACUUACUGUCCUAGAAAAGGAGCUUCUAGCUAGUCGCUUUUGUUUGAGAAAAGACCAUGAAUUGGGUGGAACACUAUGAGAAGGAUCCGAAAGCUGCAAUGGCUGGACUAUUGAACAUGAUGUUUGAGGUAAUUUGAUUUUUAAAUGUUUGUCUUUCUGAUGAACGAGGCAUCUUUUAAUCAUGUUGAAAGGGAAGCUCUGAGAUCUUGUAUAAAAGCUUUGAAUUUCUGGGCUACAGAGAUUUGGUGGGAGUUACAAGACUUCACCCUCAACAUAUUGAAAAGGAUUAUAGAUGAGCUCAUUAUCAACGUAUCAUUGUUCCAGAAAUGGGCAUCAAUGCAAUAUGGAGAACUGUAGUAUUUAAGAUGGAGACUUUCAUCAAAUGCUCCCUCAGAUGUCUGCCUAGUCUUCCUUCAGGAUUUUAAAUCUUCCGUCCUUCUGGUUAAAGAGGCAUUUAUUUAGAAUGGUUGUGCUCUUUUUUCAGAACAUUGGCUAAUCAGGAAAGCAACCCUUGUAUCAUCCACAGAGCUAGAAGCUUUGGGGUACUCAUCAGAUAUAUGCAACGGAAGCAGCUUCCAGACUUGGUAAACUGAUGAUGGAUGCCCUUAUUUUCAUGCAUAUGGAAUUGAGAAGAUCCUAUGGACCUGAAGAGUGGUUGCCCUCAAUGGAUCUGAUGGAUAAGCUUGAACUAGGCAGUGAAAGGACAUAGCUUGGUGGAUGGCUGUCAUACGGGAUGGUGAUGUUUGAAUAUUCACUGCUUGUAAACUUGAAAAUGUUGGAUGAUCUUCAAUUAUCGAGGCAAAUUUCCAUCGAAAGCUUGCAUAAUAAUCUUGCACAGACUGCCUCCAAGGCUUAGAUCGAGUGAAAGAAGGUGGUGUCGCAGGUUUGAGCCCCACACCAUGCAAAGUGAAGCCCGGAGUUUAAGUGGAGAGGGGUAGAGGGCGGACCUAUUAUCCACUGAGUUUAGAAGGCUAUGACUGGUCCAAAGAGCGGGUCACAGGCGGAUUUCUCGGUUAUAAAAAAAAAGAAUCUUGCAGAGGCUUUCAAGAACUCCAGAAGUUUUGAUGACUGUGGUAGCUCGCCAAUAGGGAUGGUACUGUUUUCUUGAAUGACGGGCUCUUGGAGAUGAAGUGCAUUCUCCAAAUUCCUUAGCACCUCACCCAUAGAUGGGGUGUGCACCAGAUUCAGCUAAGUAUUUCACUGCGUUUCUCCAAACUUGCUAAAGGAAUCUGGUCUUACAUAGCCCAGAAAGUCAGGAUCUACGAUAUGUUCCAUCUAUCUCUUCUCUUGCAAAUUCAUUGCCCAGUCAGCUAAGAUGACCUUCUCCCUCGGAAGAGAUCGAUCUCGGGCAGACCUAGCACAAAGAACUUCACAUAAAAUGGUCAUAAAUGGAGGAAGAAGAAGGAUGUUGAAACUGUUUAAGAACUGUUAAAGACACUCACCAAAAGGUGAAGAUGUUUUUGAAAGUCUUGGAGCACCUUUGAAUGUUGCUAAACCCACAAAAGAUUCAAGUGUGGCUAUUUUUUGACUAGGAGCUGUAGGCCUUAUUGCUGCAGACGAAGCAAAAAUUGCUAGUGCUUCAAGGAUAAUUUGUGUCGAUUUAAAUGCUAGCUGAUUUCAGUAAGCGAAGAAAUUUUGCGUGAAAAAGUUUGUGAACCCGAAGGAUUAAAGUAAACCAGGUCAAGAGGUAAUUGCUGAGAUGACUGAUUGCAAAUUCGAUCUGAGUGUGAAGUGUACUGGCCAUAUUGAUGCUAUGAUUUCAGCAUUUGAAUUGUCCAUGAUGUGUGGUAGUGGCUGUUCUUAUUGGUAUGUACCCCAUAAGGAAGCUGUGUUCAAGACACUUUUGAACUUUUUAAUGGAAGUACUAUCAAAGUAACCUUCUUUGGAAACUGGACACCUCGUUCGGAUAUUCCUUCUGUUGAAAUACAUGAAUAAGGAACUUUAAUUGGAGAAAUUCAUCACUCAUACACUUCCCAUACUAUGAAAUCGACAAGGCUUUUUGAAUUAAUGUUGAAGGGAGAAGGCCUUCGUUGCAUCAUCACCAUGGAGGACUAAACUUACUGUCCUAGAAAAGAAGCUUCUAGCUAGUCGCUUUUGUUUGAGAAAAUACCAUGAAUUGGGUGGAACACUAAGAGAAGGAUCCGAAAGCUGCAAUGGCUGGACUAUUGAACAUGAUGUUUGAGGUAAUUUGGUUUUAUUUCUUGCAUUUGUGUUGGGUAUUAUCAACACCUGAAACACUAGCAGUCAUAUUAGCAUUAAUCUGUUGAGGAGAAGUUUGGGGAAUUACCUGAUUGCUGGCAUCUGCAGUCUUCUUGCCCUUGAUUUUAUUUGCAGCU